CUACCUCCCCAACGAAAAUCAAAAUUUCUUUCCAGUUAGUCCAGAACAAAAAAUAACCAUCAUCCUCAUCAGUCUCUGUCGUAAUCAUAGGCCAAUAGCAUAUAAUUAUAUUAAAUUAAAUUAAUUAAAUAAAGUGAUUAAAUUAAUUAAAUAAAGUGGGAGGUUUUACCGUUUCCUCCGCCCGCCGGCGCAAUUUGAGAGGACAAAACUCAUAAUACAAAUACAGUGAAGGCAACAAUAUGAACAAGCAAAGCAGGUAUCUUUUGAAUAAUAUAUGACCAAAAGGGUCUCUCAAUUAAAUUAUGAAAAUUAAUUCAGAUUACAACUUGCAAAUUAAAUUUAAAUUUAAUUAACAUUACAACUUGCAAAUUAAAGUUUAAACUAUGCGAUUCAAUGUCCACAGUUUGGCUUUAGGUGGAGGUGGGUCCCAAAACGCUGACAUGAAAUUCAAGGCGACGGGCCCCUUUUCCUUCGGCUGGGGCCCGAUUCCUGGUUUCCUCCAUUUUCGUGUUGAAUGAAAUAAUGAACACUGUUUGGUCGUUUUCUAAGGAAAUAUCUAACAUGUUCGGAACUAAUCAAAAUUAAAUAAUGAUAUAUCGGUCACAUAAUAAGCACAUAACAAUCAAAUAUCGAUAAUCAACAGUUGUAAUUAAAAAAAUAAUCAGUUUGACCAAUUAAAAUUAAUAGACAAUACAUGUAGUUAUUCUUCUCCGUCAAACAUGACAUGAUAUAAUUUUGUCGUAUUAUUACCGGAAUUGUUCAUUCUUUUUAUCAUCAUCUAACAAUCAUCUCUACAAAAAUUCAUUCAUUUGGACACUAUUUAUAUAUGCCAAACCAACCAGCAGUCAUGAUACAAGUAACAUCUUUAUUAUGAACCAUCAAUUUGUGUGAUUCAUAUGAAUGACUAAAGGGUUUCUAAAUCAAAUAAUUUUUUUGAAGGAAAACUAAUGAAAAUGGCUUGAAAACUUUGAGUUUUAAUCAAAAUGACAAAAAGGUGUUGUAAGUGAAUAGUACCAAGAGUGACUUUUUAGAGUAAAAAUGUCAUUUUCGUUAAAAGUGAACAAUACCGAGAGUGUUUCAUUAAAACUCUUGUUUUUUUAAAGAUGUUCAUUUGAAAGAAAAAUAACUCUUUACAUGUAAGGAGUCAAACAAUCUUAUAUAUAGUAAUUGUUUAUAGUCAUUCUUUCUUAAGUGCAUUGACCGUCUUAAAUAAAAAGAACUCAAUUUGGUAAACUGAUUGUAUUCGUGUCUAGGUCGAUACACUAAAAUAUACGAGGACGCAUUAUAGGGUUAAAAGAUUUUAAAUAAGUUAUAACACAUGACCACACGUUAUUAACAGAGAUGUCGCCAAUAGCAUCCUUACAAGCAAGUUUCUCUCGUAUAUUAGAAAUACAUGGCAUUAAAACAACAUAUAAGUUAAACCCUAAUUUAUCUGCAACUAGGAACCAGUUUUUCGUAAGAAAUGGAUAAGAGGAGUAAGGAGUAAGACGACCUAUGGUGUGUCUGUAACUAAUGUCAUUGCCUCCACUAGGUGGUGGUGAGGGUGACAGUUGAGGCCAUUUUUAUGGGAGGCAGAUUGUCUGCCCUCCUAUUUUUGGAUGCUCUUCUCCUCCCCUUCUAUUUUGUUCGGUCACGGUUAAACCACGUCAACAUUU
Molecule: long non-coding RNA, 1655 nt
Filed under: Malus domestica (apple)
Lineage: Eukaryota; Viridiplantae; Streptophyta; Magnoliopsida; Rosales; Rosaceae
Description: long non-coding RNA (MDOM_LNC004096)
Source: RNAcentral